This 207-nucleotide ribosomal RNA is filed under the name uncultured Eubacteriales bacterium. RNAcentral's name for it is "uncultured Clostridiales bacterium partial 16S ribosomal RNA". It matches the Rfam family "Bacterial small subunit ribosomal RNA", at positions 568 to 774 of the family's 1533-position model. Lineage: Bacteria; Bacillati; Bacillota; Clostridia; Eubacteriales. The record is from RNAcentral.
CACGUAGGCGGGAACUUAAGUCAGAUGUGAAAGACCGGGGCUCAACUCCGGGAUUGCAUUUGAAACUGGGUUUCUUGAGGGCAGGAGAGGAAAGCAGAAUUCCUGGUGUAGCGGUGAAAUGCGUAGAAAUCAGGAGGAAUACCAGUGGCGAAGGCGGCUUUCUGGACUGACCCUGACGCUGAGGUGCGAAAGCGUGGGUAGCAAACA